CCUACAAUUUAAGAAUUGUUUUCUGCUCCAGCCCCAGCCGCCAUUGCUCCAGUGCCGCCGGGAGACAGCCUGGGCCCCGAUCCACUGCGGGAAGGAGGGCCACGCCUGCUCUGGCCCCAGCCGCCAUCGCUCCAGUGCCAGAAGGUAUUUUCCAUCUGUAGUUGACCAUGAAUGCAGAACUGAUAGACAGCUGACCGUAAUCACACCAUCCAAAGGUCACAAGUGAGACUCGUGCUUUAAAAGAAGGAGAAUGGACAACCAAAAUACUUUAGCUCAGUUCUCAAUGGAGCCUGUUUAACAAAUACCAGGAGGAAUCGGAAAAAUCCAGCCUUAUCCCCUGCAAGUCUUCAAGUCCACACGACACAGAGGUGUGCAGAGCAGUGAGUAAGAGAAUGAGCUGUGCAGUUAACUGGCCUGGCUUCCAAUUCC
Molecule: long non-coding RNA, 429 nt
Filed under: Fukomys damarensis (Damara mole-rat)
Lineage: Eukaryota; Metazoa; Chordata; Mammalia; Rodentia; Bathyergidae
Description: lncRNA (ENSFDAG00000026394.1)
Source: RNAcentral